Long non-coding RNA from Sycon ciliatum, 2488 nucleotides. RefSeq lists it as uncharacterized. The transcript has 2 exons. The record is from RefSeq and is a predicted model, not a curated record. NCBI's taxonomy places the organism in Eukaryota, Metazoa, Porifera, Calcarea, Leucosolenida, Sycettidae.
UAUGUUGUAUGAGCUAAAAUGGAGAUGGACAGGAAAGAGAUCAGGGCUCAGAUGAUCAUCAAAUACAAUGUACUAGUAUCUGUUUAUGAAAGAAAUGAGUCCUAAAGAUAUUCAUAUGGAUACGUGUGAGACUUGGGGUGAUAUUGGCAUUGCUCCUUCCUACUCCACAGUUUUAAGGACUGGUGUGCUGAGUUUAGGCGUGGGAGGUUGAGCACCAAUGAUGCCACAAGGUCGGAGCGACCGCCUGUUGCCUGGUUGCAGCAUCGCAGGAGAAUUGUGACAAAGUCCUCGAAAUUAUAAUGAAAGAACGCAGAGUUACAACAAGAUACCUGUGUGCCCAACUGAGUGGAUAUCAGUUGUGGCUCAAUGCAAAACAUCCUGACCAGAAUUGGCCUCAACAAAGUUUCCUGCAAAUGGGUUCCAAGGAUGUUGACAAUGCAACAGCAACGCAGGAGAAAGGACACCUCAACUGAGCUUCUUGGACGAAUGCAGGCAAACCGGGAGGAUUCAAGUUUCUGAGCAGCGGUUGGCCCGCUGAGUCACUCAGGAAACAUGGGUCCAUCAUUUUGAUCCGGAAGCAAAGCAGCAAUCAAUGCAGCACCCCAGUUCACCCACACCGAAGCAAUUCAAGACACGAUCGUUGGCCGGCAAGAUCAUGGUCUCCGUAUUUUGGGCUUAGAAGGGCGUCAUCAUGCUGGACUAUCUGCGGCGGCUAGGUGCCACCAUCAAUGGUGAUGAUACUAUGCUUGUGUCAGCCUACAAUGUAGUGAACUGUGCAGUCUGAAGGAUGAGAUGAAGGCAAAAAGGCUCAGCAAACUUUCAAAGGGAAUCCUGCUUUUGCAGGACAACGCACCUGCUCAUACCUCACAGGUUGCUGUUGCUGCAGCUGGAACCUGUGGGUUCAAAAUUCUCCCACACCCACUCUAUUCCCCUGACCUGGCUCCGUCUGACUUCUUUCUCGUCCCCGAGCUGAAAGACUCUCUCCGAGGAGGGCAUUUCACAUCCAACGAUGAUGUCAUGGCAGCCGUUGACGACUUUCUCGACGACCAAGAUGUGGAGUUCUUCAGGACAGGUCUGGAGAAGCUUGAAUACCGCUCGAGCAAGUGCAUUGAGGUCAAGUGAUGUAGUUUGCGGAUGAUGCAGCCUUGUUUGCACCCAGCCACUCGGAUGCUCAGCGUAUGCUUGAGAUAUUUGCGGAGGUCGGUGGAGCAUUCGGACUGUCUCUCAACAUGACAAAGACUGUGUUCAUGGCUGUUGGGCACCAACUCAAAAACAGCGACCGUACCCCGCUAAACGUACAAGGAAACACCAUCCAGCAUGUGAGCCAAUUCACGUAUCAGGCUUGGCUCAGUUACUAUUGAUUUGAAGUAUAACACCAGACGGACUAUGCCACAUCGAUGUGUCCAACCGCAUAGCUGCUGGAUCCAAGGCCUUGGCAGCCUAUACUCGUCAAUAUUUCGGAACACACCCUUCACAUCCAAGACGAAACAACACACGUCCACAUGCUCUGUGCUGUCUGCGCUGUUGUAUGGGGCUGAGAACUGGACACUGUUGCGUGCCGACGUCGCCUUGAACAAUUCUACAACCGCUGCGUUCGUGUCAUUGUCGGCAUCUCGCGUUCCAAACAGUGGGAAGACCACCUGAACUCUGCCUCGCUGCAUAGAAUGUGCGCUACAGAGCCAGUUGCUGACAUGAUUACCUGUCGACGUCUCCAGUGGCUUGGCCACAUUGCCAGGAUGGACGACCAUCGGCUUCCAAACCGGGCAGUGUUGUUCUGGUGGCUCCAUGCUCCACGCCCUGCUCAUGGUCCCAGGCGUCGAUGGCGUGAUGUGGUACGUCAUGACCUCAACUUGCUCAAGGCGGUCGGCCUAUAGAACAGUUGGUACGACCUUGCAGGUGAACGUGGUGAGUGGAUCCAGUCCAUCUCGGAUACCAUUGUUGCACGUCGCUUGUAACUUGAUACGACAGCCAAGUCAGUAUGUUGUGCGGUCUGUGAGCCACUCUUCGCCAGUCAAAGUGGACUUCGUCGGCACAGAUGCAGGGAGGAGCGACUGAAGCCGAUCUAUGAACAGUCCGGUGCUGUGUUGUGUGAAAUAUGCCAUCGUUGGUUUGCUAGCCGAGGUGGACUUGCCGUGCACAGCUGCUCUCCCAGCCUUGGUGACUCUCCAGUUUCAGAGAUAGUUGCACCUCGCCCACCUGAUUGCAGCCAAUGUCAGUACCACUGCCACACCUGUGGCCGCUGUUUCCGGAGCAAAAUGGGGCAUCACCGAUUCACCGGCACAAUUGCAGCUGCUGAACAUGCAAGUCUGGCUCCGAGGCAGUCCGAGCGCAGCACAAUCCCAUGCCCGACCUGCUCUCGGAAGUUUUCAUUUUUGGUGUUGUGUUUUUAAAUGUUCUAAUUCUUCGCCAUGGUACCGUGCAUUGUAUUCUGUUACCAUGGUACCGUGCAUUGUAUUCUGUUUGCCGGUAAAAGAGGCUUGUGUUUGUA